RNAcentral lists this ribosomal RNA (506 nucleotides) under Savignium crenatum. RNAcentral's name for it is "partial 16S ribosomal RNA". It matches the Rfam family "Bacterial large subunit ribosomal RNA", at positions 1808 to 2593 of the family's 2925-position model. The record is from RNAcentral. Lineage: Eukaryota; Metazoa; Arthropoda; Thecostraca; Balanomorpha; Pyrgomatidae.
CAAAAACAUUUCCUCUUAGAUAAAGAGGUAAGGCCUGCUCACUGAAUUUUAAAGAGCCGCAGUAUUCUAACUGUGCUAAGGUAGCAUAAUCAUUAGCCUUUUAAUUGGAGGCUGGUAUGAAUGGCUUAACGAGAAAUUAACUUUUUUUGUUAUAAAAAUCGAAUUUAAUUUUUUAGUGAAAAAGCUAAAAUUAUUCAGAAAGACGAGAAGACCCUAUAGAGUUUUAUGUUUUAAAAAAAUAAAUUUUUAUUAGAUUUCUGAAUCAUUUAUUUUUAUAAACAUUUUGUUGGGGCGACAUAAAGAUAAAUAAAACUCUUUAUAAUAAAAAUUUUUAUAAAAAUAUUUUUGAUCCUUUAUAAGAGAUUAUAAGAAAAAAUUACCUUAGGGAUAACAGCGUAAUCUUUUUUAAGAGUUCUAAUCGACAAAAAGGUUUGCGACCUCGAUGUUGGACUAAAAUUUAGGCAGGGUGCAGCAGUUCUGCUUUUAGGUCUGUUCGACCUAUAAAA